Molecule: non-coding RNA, 386 nt
Organism: Sturnus vulgaris (Common starling)
Lineage: Eukaryota; Metazoa; Chordata; Aves; Passeriformes; Sturnidae
Source: RefSeq, a predicted model, not a curated record
UUUCUGCUGGACAGCUUCUCAGACACUCUUCCCCCAGCCUGUAGUGCUACAUGAGGUUCUUGUGAGCCAACUGGCAUUUCACCUUGCUGGACCUCAUACAAUUGGCCUUGGUCCAUUGACCCAGCCUAUCCUGUCCAGAUUACCCUGUAGAGCCUUCCUACCCUCCAGCAGAUCAGCACUCCUGCCCAACUUGGUGUCUUCUGUGAACUCGCUGAGGGUGAAUUUAAACUCCUCAUUCAGGUAGUUGAUAAAGACAUUAAACAAAACUGGCCCCAGUACUGAACCCUGGGGAACACCACUGGUGACCAGCUGGAUGUAACUCCAUUCACCACCAUUCUCUGGGCCUGGACAUCCAGACAGGUUUUUACCCAAGAAAGAGUACAUCU